GGGGAGCAGAUUUGCCCAAGUCCCUCUGCCUUUCUAGUAACAAACACUGGAGGUUGUGGGGAGGGUGGCUGAGUGCCCAUAGAAAGCUUUCAUUGUGACAUCUUUGGCACCUGUGCCACAGGUUCACCAUCACUGGUCCAUCAUGUUGGAAGAAAAAAUUUAGGCCAUUGAAGUAGGAUUGUAGACUAUAUGGAAAGGAGUAAUGUUUUUUAAAAGAUUACAAAUGUCAUCCUGUUCCACCCAUCUCCACAAGUGGAAUAUGAACACUACACAUCUCUUCUCUUUCAUCGUUGCGAGCUCAUAAAGCAGGGCCUUGAGACAAAGGGCCUGAUGUGCCGGCACACUUCGUCACCUGGGCUGAUGUUUACAGAGCUGGUCUCUCGGAGAAACUACUCAGAAAUCUGUCCAUGUGCAUGAAGCACAGUUUUGACCACCUUUUAGAUGCCUUCCUUCCUCUACAUUUCCACAAUCAACUUCUCCAAACCAGAUCUGCAUCGGCCAAUACUAAAAGACUGCAUGUCUAUAUACACAGAUAUCUUCCCAGUGUCUCUACUUCUGACUGUUGAAUGCAUGUAUUACAACUAUUUUCAAACCAUUCUUUCCUUCAUUGCAUUUUUCCAUUAAAGGAUCUGUAACCAUUAACUCUGCCUACUAGUUCCAGUGUAAGUAAACCUCUCACAUUUUUGUGAUCUUCUAAUGAUUUUUCCAACUUUCCCACUUAUCGAUGCAUCUGAUCUCAUUCCUCCUUAUUCCUCAACACCUAUUUUUCAGGCUGCUCUCCACAGGAUUAGACUUCUAAGUCUAUAUUGUUUUGGGGAGUCCAUGAGGGAGUCUAAUAUUCCCAAAUUAUUGUUGAUUCUGCUAUAAAUAAUUUAAGAAGUUUAGUUUCUUAUUUAUAAAAGUCAUAACAGUAUCACUGAGAAGUAAGCUGUAUGGAAAUCGCGCUUAGCUACAAUAAAUCGUUCGUAUAGUUAAAAGUGAACAUUAUUAUCAAUCAUAGUAUGAAUAUUAACAAUGAAUACACAACAUCCCAUUCAAAUACAAAUGCAAUAUUCCUGGGCCAGGAAGAGGACUUACACGUAAA
This is a non-coding RNA of Monodelphis domestica (gray short-tailed opossum), 1084 nucleotides long. Lineage: Eukaryota; Metazoa; Chordata; Mammalia; Didelphimorphia; Didelphidae. The record is from RefSeq and is a predicted model, not a curated record.